This 495-nucleotide ribosomal RNA is filed under the name soil bacterium S86D1. Its description in RNAcentral is "bacterial SSU rRNA". It matches the Rfam family "Bacterial small subunit ribosomal RNA", at positions 49 to 555 of the family's 1533-position model. The record is from RNAcentral.
UAACACAUGCAAGUCGAACGGUGAACACGGAGCUUGCUCUGUGGGAUCAGUGGCGAACGGGUGAGUAACACGUGAGCAACCUGCCCCUGACUCUGGGAUAAGCGCUGGAAACGGCGUCUAAUACUGGAUAUGUGACGUGACCGCAUGGUCUGCGUCUGGAAAGAAUUUCGGUUGGGGAUGGGCUCGCGGCCUAUCAGCUUGUUGGUGAGGUAAUGGCUCACCAAGGCGUCGACGGGUAGCCGGCCUGAGAGGGUGACCGGCCACACUGGGACUGAGACACGGCCCAGACUCCUACGGGAGGCAGCAGUGGGGAAUAUUGCACAAUGGGCGCAAGCCUGAUGCAGCAACGCCGCGUGAGGGAUGACGGCCUUCGGGUUGUAAACCUCUUUUAGCAGGGAAGAAGCGAAAGUGACGGUACCUGCAGAAAAAGCGCCGGCUAACUACGUGCCAGCAGCCGCGGUAAUACGUAGGGCGCAAGCGUUAUCCGGAAUUAUU